RNAcentral lists this ribosomal RNA (253 nucleotides) under uncultured bacterium. RNAcentral describes it as "partial 16S ribosomal RNA". It matches the Rfam family "Bacterial small subunit ribosomal RNA", at positions 524 to 776 of the family's 1533-position model. The record is from RNAcentral.
UACGUAGGGGGCGAGCGUUAUCCGGAUUUACUGGGUGUAAAGGGAGCGUAGACGGCAUGGCAAGUCUGGAGUGAAAGCCCGGGGCCCAACCCCGGGACUGCUCUGGAAACUGCCAUGCUAGAGUGCUGGAGAGGUAAGUGGAAUUCCUAGUGUAGCGGUGAAAUGCGUAGAUAUUAGGAGGAACACCAGUGGCGAAGGCGGCUUACUGGACAGUGACUGACGUUGAGGCUCGAAAGCGUGGGGAGCAAACAGG